This 15532-nucleotide long non-coding RNA is filed under the name Daucus carota (carrot). RNAcentral describes it as "long non-coding RNA (DCAR_LNC001538)". Lineage: Eukaryota; Viridiplantae; Streptophyta; Magnoliopsida; Apiales; Apiaceae. The record is from RNAcentral.
UGCAGGGACAUCAAGGACACCUUUGUUUCCUCCUUUCACUUUCUCAAACAGAAUCUAGAGCCAUCAAACAAUUGUAUGGAAAACCUCUUUGAUUUAUACAUCAGAGGAGUAAGUCCGGGUGGACCCGUGUGGGAUCAUAUCAUGGGAUAUUGGAAGGAAAGCUUGGAGAGGCCAAAUAAGGUGUUGUUUAUGAGGUACGAAGACAUGAAAUCCAAGCCUCAUUUUCAGUUGAGGCGUCUUGCGUUUUUUCUGGGAAAGCCCUUCUCCGAAGAGGAAGAAAAUUCAGGUAUGCUUGAUCAAAUCAUAAGUUUGUGCAGCUUUGAUAAUAUGAGGAAUCUUGAGGUUAAUAAGAGCGAUACAACUAAGCUUGGUAUAAAGAAUCACACAUUUUACCGGAGCGGUCAAGUUGGAGAUUGGAAGAAUUAUUUGACUGCGGAGAUGGCUGGUAAGCUGGAUCAGAUCACUCAAGAAAAGUUUCGUGCUUCUGGAUUAUCUCUCUGAUAUAUUUUCAAUCAUCAUUGUGUGCUGCUGCUGCUGCUGAUGCCACCUGUUUUGUUGUUUAUACUUAUUGUAUGUAUGUAGUAAUUCCUGUCAUAGUUUAUGACAAGGAAUUUUGUGCUCUCUUCACUUGUGUGUUUCUGAAGUGUAAUUUUGUCUAUGCUUGAUAAUAAUUGGAUAAUGUAUUUCCUCCCCUUUAUAUUAAAAUCAUGUUGAAUUUUGUUCUUAAUUUCGAUUUAGGUUUUGUCCCUGAAAAAUGUUGUAAUAUAAUAAAAAUGUUGUUUUACAGUCACUGUAUUAUAACUCACUACAACAAACUAGUGUACGACGGAAAUAUUUUGUGCAAGUUCAGAAAGAAAUAUAGCUACUACGCUUUUUCCAUCACAAGUUAUCUAGAUAGUUUACUGAAAAUUUUCAACUUUGAAGAUCUGACAAUAGAGGGUACUAAUAAACUGUAACCUAUGCACACAAUUUAGAGUAAUUAUGUAUCAUUUGGUUAUUAGGCAAAAAAAAUCAUUGAACUCAUGACCAACUUGCAGUUGGAUCACUGAACUCAAAAAUAUGCAACGGGAUCAAAAAAUUAGAUUUAACUUGUAAUCAACUAACUGAAAAUAAAAAAAUAUGAUAAAAAAUAAAAAAAAUUGAAGAAAAAGCAAAAUUUUGGGGGAAAAAAAAAAUAAAAGUAGUUUCUUUAAUAAAAUUUCUGAAAACACGUGAGCGUUGCCUUCAUCAAUAAACAGGUGCAAUAUGCUGAUCAGUUUCUAAAAUAACAUCAUAAAUUAUGGAACCAAAAGCUUCACAGCCUCUUGAACUUUCUCCUGCUCCUUUCAAGCCAUUAAAUGGGGAUAUCGUUUACAGCCAAAAAUUCAUCGACUUGCUUUCCACAUUGCCUAAACAGAAGGAUUCUUUCGGAGUCGACAUUUAUUAUGACAAUGGUUUCUGGUGGCCUCUAGUAGCUGUGCAUUGCAUGAUCGUCGAUCGAGUCUCUAAAAUAUUUUCAACCUCGCAAAAACGAUGUCUUCCUCGCAACUGCUCCGAAAUCUGGCACCACCUGGUUGAAAGCUUUAGUCUAUACUUUACUCAACCGCCAAGUCCACCAUCCUCAAGAUCCUCACCACCCCUUGCUAACAACAAAUUAUUCCCAUCAGCUUGUUCCCUUUCUUGAACUACUUGAACACUCUGAAUACGACUCGUUAUCCAACUCUUUGGAGAGCAGCACCAGGAUCUUCGGGAGUCAUUUGCCAGCGGCUAGUCUUCCUGAGUCUGUGAUACAGGAAAAUGAGUCAUUUAAUUGUAAGAUAGUGUAUUUGUGCAGGGAUAUCAAGGACACGUUUGUUUCCUUCUUUCACUUUGUCAUCAAGCAUGUUGAUCCGUCCUCCACUUCUUUGGAAAAGGUCUUCGAUUUAUACAGUAGAGGACUCAAUGGAGCCUGGACCGGUCUGGGAUCAAAUCAUGGGAUAUUGGAAGGAGAGCUUGGAGAGGCCAGAUAAGGUGUUGUUUGUCAAAGUAUGAGGACAUGAAAUGCGAGCCUCGUGUUCAGUUGAGGCGUCUUGCACUUUUUCUAGGGAAGCCCUUGUCCGAAAAAGAAGAAAAAUCAGGUUUGCUUGAUCAAAUCAUAAGUUUGUGUAGCUUUGAUAAUAUGAAGAAUCUUGAGGUUAGUAAGAGCGGGACAACUGGGCUUGGUAUAAAGAAUAACACACUUUACCGGAGUGGCCAAGUGGGAGAUUGGAAGAAUUAUUUGACUGCGGAAAUGGCUGCUAAAUUGGAUCAUGUUACUUGAGAGAAGUUUCGAGGUUCAGGAUUACCAAUACACUAAUCAGGUCGGUUAAUUAAGAGGCCGUUUGGGUGAGUUUAAAAUAAGUGGUUCUUGCUCAAAAUAAAAAAGUGGAGCAGAAGUUAGAAGCAAGAUAAGACUUAUAAGUGAUUAAAGUGUUUUGGAAAUAAGUAGAAGUGUUUGAGAAAUAAGUAGAAACUCUGAAACAAAAGCUAGCAUUCCUAGCUUUUUAUAAGGACUUAUUAACUUAUUACACAAACACAAAUAAGUGUCAUAACCAGACUUAUAAGUUCUAAACAAACACCCACUAAGUUUGAAGGUAAUUUAGAGGGUAGUGGCCAAGAGCCCAGAUUUAAAAAGGACCACUUUUUUAAAAUUUUAUAACUAAAUUACUUAUUAUUAUUGAUGCACUUCAUAAUCUAUCAAAAUCAUUCCACUACUUUCUCAUGAAGAUCCAGGUUUAGUUUUAAAAUUCUCAUAAUUAUAAAGAUGCUUGCUAAAUCAGUUUUUUCAAUAUUUUCAUCAAAUAUUACAUUAAAACCUUGACUUUUAUUAUUAUAUUACUAAUUACAUGUAUUUCAAAGUGAAUAAAAUAUAACUCCGAUUUAAUUUUUCAAAUUUUCUUUUCAAAAUAGGAAUAUAUAUUAAUAUAAUAAAUAGAAAAUUUUAAAAAAUAAUAUAUAAAUAUAUUUUCUAUAUUUUUUAAAAUAAUAGCAAAAAGUUAAAUGACUGAGUACUAUAAAAAAAUUUAUUAAAGUUUUUGCCUCUGUCCCAAAAAUAUAAAAAUCAGACCGAUGCUGAUGAUGAAGGCAACCGAAUGAUUCCACUUCACGCGAUUCUGGGCAGCUACGAUUUAAAGCAUCAUAAAUGGAUCCAAUGCUCUCGAAAAUAUCAAAUAUGUACGUGUCACUCUGUCUUUUUAAAUAAAAUUAUAUGAUUAAUAUUCUAAUUUUAAAAUGAUAAACUUAGUUAUGGAGUUAGGAGAGAAAUGUGUGCCAAAAAUUUCAAUGGCUUAUAUUUCCAACAAAAAAUAGUAUUUAUAAACAAUUAUAUUUCUAAUAAUCGGUGGUUGUGAUGGUUAAAAACUAAUGGAAUGAUAGGACAUUAAUCACAAAGAUCAAUUCAACUAAAAAGAUAUUAUAUUUUGUACAUUAUAAUGAUAUUUGAUAUAUUAGUUUAAUUUAUUAUAUAACAUAUUAUUAUUUAAGAAAAUUUAUAUUACCUCUAUUCUUAUUUAUAAGCCGCUAGAUUAUUUAUACGUAACUUUAAGUGUUUUGAGCACAGUAAAAAUUAAUAUUUUUGUAAACUUUUUUUUGAAGAAAUAUAAUAUUCUAACUUUUAUUAAAAAAUAAAAUUUUUAAAAAUAUUAGAUAUGUGAUCAAAUUUUCUAAUGAUACAUGUAAAAAGUCAAAUAAUAAUAAACAUAAAAAUUUGAAGAUGCCAGUGAUUAAUCAGAUUUUGAAAAUGAAAUCCAUGAUCAAUCUUGAAGCUAGAAAUUUUGGAAUCAUGGGCAAAAGUACCAGAUAUAUUCCAAAUGAGACGUGCCAUACAUAUAACCGAAUGGACUAAGACGUUUUCAAGGUUAACUUGUUUGUGUUGUUACUUAAAAACUACUGUAAAAGAUACUCGUGAUCGGGCUUAUAGAAAACUCCUGCAACUCAAAUUGGGUUAUGAAAUACAUCCCGAGAUAUCUCCGAUCUCUCCUUUAUAAUCUCUUUUAUCUUUCUAUAUAUAUAAAGGUUAAAUACUAAAAUUCGUCUCAAUACACACCUCUAUAUUUAUAUAUAAAACAAAUAACUAUGCAAUUUCAAAUUUGAAGGAACACUAUAAGAUAAAGUGAAGGGAAAAACUAUACAAUACAUAGAUAGCUUUGGAGUAUAAUUAUACCGUCAAAUAUAAUAUUAAAAUGAAUUUGAAGUAAAGUUGAGGGAAUGAUGAGAGAAGGAAUGAUAAUGUAAAGUGAAAAUGAUGAAAAUUUAAAGAUAAAGUGUGAGUAUAAAAUAAAGUAAUGGCGUGAGAUUGCCUGAAGCUACAAUGCGGCAACAUACCCCACUCCGUGAGAGACACUGGGCCUAUAUCACUGUCCAUCACAAAUUGAACAGUAUUUUUGAAAAACAGUGGACUGAUGCCGACCACUUUGGAUGAUCUACAUAUUAGAAUCCGUUAGAAUCCGAUGGUACGCCUAAUUGAUGGGAGUACUAAUUACUUCUCUUUCUUAUAAAUUCAAUUGAUUUUUUCUCAUUUUCUUUUCUACAAAGUCUCCUAAAUUUCUGUCCCUUUUUAAUGGCUUGAAAUUUAUUGUCAAAAGUUAAGCCGGAACAUCUGAAUAUCAUCAUUGUAGUACAUAGCAUAAAAACAAAAAAAAAAAAGGAGAAAAAUCUUAAUAAUAUUAUUGGAAGUUUAGUACAAUGGUUCAAAACCAAUAAUAUAAUAAAUUAGAUUUCCAAUAUAAUAAAUUUAGGUGAUGAAAAACCUUCGAAAAAGUCACAAGAAAAGAGUGAAUGGAAAAGGGUGUAUGGAUGAUUAUUACUGUAUUAAUUAUAUACGUGGGGUAAGGUGCUAAAUUCUAAUGAUCUGUACCCAACACAGCUCAAUAAAUAUUAUAUAUAAUUCCUACUUAUUAUAAUUAAUAAUCUUUUAUAACAUCUAAUCUCUAAAUCGGGUUCUCGGUCCACUUGUUUAAUCCUAAAAUCGGUUUUUUUAUAACAGAACCAAGUCAAAUCUAUUCUCCAUUAUUGAAACACCAAAAGGUUUGUAUCGUUAUUUAUUGUUUUUCUUGGUGCUAUUAAGAAAACGUGUGUCGUUGGAGAAAAAUAUAAUAUUGUCUAUUAUUCCAUUGAAACGCUAUUUAUAUUUUUUAAUGUAGAAACCGUAGAGAACCAUUCUCUCUAAUACUUUAAAGUGUUAGAGGAGGUUCUUUUAUGGAUCUUAUAUUUAUAUUAAACACUCUCCCUCACUCGAAAUCCCAUUAUUUGGGUUGAAAAGUGGAUUACAGGCGCCCAAACCCGUCCAUUUUAAAUUGUGGGGUGGCAGGGCUUCGAACCUGAGACCUCCCGCAAACCAAAACUCUAUACCAUGUAAAGAAUCAUUCUCUCUAAAAUCUUAAGAUUUUACGCUAAGACUACCAUGAUUUUACGUCCAAGGAUUAUAACCAAUUCAUUGGAGAUUUAGAGUGUUAUUUUCAUAUGAUUUUUUAUAAUUUUUAUUUCUGUAUGCCAACUUUUUUGUGUUAAGAAUUGUUCAUGAUCGGAGUUGCUUUUAUAAGUAUUGCAAUAUGCAUGUGUUUAUCUAAAAUAUUGGAAUAAUAUGUCUAAAUUUUAAAAAGAAAUUGUUGUUUAAAAUAGAUAAAUUAAUUAUAGAUAAUAAAUAGAUAUGAUUUAUAAGUUAUUGAGAUGUUUGAUUAGUGUGAAUUAUAAAUCAAUAUACAUUUUAAUUUUAACAAUUUAUAUAAUAAAAUAAUAUUUAUAAAUAUUAUAAAAUUUAUUAUAUAUUUCAAAUAUAAAAAUAUAUUAAAUUAACUAAUUAAGCCACUAAGAGCAUUCACAUUGGAUACCUCAUCCCUAUCCCUAUAUUUUUACUAAAUUUAGUAAUUAUCCAAAAUUAUAUUCAUGAAUUCAAAAAUCUUCCACAUCUCAUUCCCCAUCCUAUCUUACCCCAUCCCUAUAUUCUCUUUUAUAAUACUUCUUUCUCUCUCUUUCAUUUAUCAUCUAAUCAAUUACAGUUAAAAAUAAAAUUAAAAAAAUGAAAGAAAAAAGAAUGGGGCAUGUAUAAUGAAUCCCCAAAUAUGAGGUUUAAGUUUUAAUCCCUAAAACUAAAUCCUAUUUUAGGUUUUGGAUGAAUUUGAUAAAAAAUUAAGAAAUUUCUUAAAUUAUGAGGAUAACGGGGGAGGCAACGGGGAUGCUCUAACACAGACAUGAUAGCUAUAAUGCCUUAAAAUCAACUAGACACCAGCACACCAAAUCUUACUAAAGUGCCAGCUCACAAUGAGUCAUUUAAAAUUAUAUACUUAUAUAUAAUAAGCGUAAGGGAGAUAAUUUGGUCGCAUGGUCUUCUGGUCCAAAAUCUUUUCAUCCGUUGAAUCUUAUAUAUAUUGAACAAAUAAGCACUGUUAGAUUGGAACAAAAUUAAAUUCUGUUCUCGAAGACAACUGAUAUCUACUUGCAUGUUUAUAAUUCUUUUUCUGAAUCCAAAACAAAUUCUGUCUUUCACAUGUAUAUGACUUUUUUUAAUCCUAAAUAAAUAUUUCCUACCAGUUUUAUUCGUAGAAUAAUAUAAAUCUCACCAUCACAAUUUUUUUAUAAUAUAUUUUAAAAUUAAUAAGCCGGAUUUAUGUGAGGAACAAAUACAAAAACUUUUGAUUAAUCCAAAAUAGAUUCUACCUUCUUGUUGCAUAUUUAUGAUUCCUUUUCUUAAUUCAAAACAAAUUAUGUUUAUCAAUUUUAAUUUAGAACCAUAUAAAUUUUUUGAAAAAUAUUUAAAUAACAUUAUAAUAAUUUUAAUAUAAAAUACAUUUAUUAAUAUAAUCUAAUAGGAGUUGGCAUAACGUAUUCCACUCAAAAUAUAUUAAAAUUUGAUAGAUAGAAUUUAAUAUUUUGGCAUGAUACAUACGAUAAAAAGAAUUGCUUGAUUAAAAUAAUUUAUUUGAAACCAUUAAUGGCUGUGAUGAUGUAUUUACCAAAGUUCUAACUUACAAACAAAUCAUAAUUUCGAAUUUCAUUUUAUUAGAAAUUUUUAUUUAUUAUUUAUAAAUUAAAUUUUUUCACACCAUUUAAAAUAUAUUUAAAAAGUUUAUAAAUAAUUAAAAAGCUCCUGUGCCCUUGCACGGGCUAUAAGCUAGUAUAAAUAAUACGGAAUUAAAGUAACAAGGUUGAGAUUAUAAACCUAACCGUAUAGUGUAUACUCCUGUAUAUUUACGCGUCACUUGCGGUAUGAAACCAACUCUGAUCCUUUAUAAAACAAGAUUACAUUACAUAUACUAACACGAACAUGGAGCCAAAAGCUUCACAGUCUCUUGAACUUAUUGAAUCAGUGAACGAGGAGAGAGUCUACAGUGAAGAGUUCUUGGACUUGCUCUCAACCUUGCCAAAAGAGAGAGAUGUUUUCGGAGACAACUUUUAUCAGUACAAAGGUUUCUGGUUUCAUAUAAAACCUUUGCAUGGCUUGGUCGAGUCUCUCAAACAUUUUCAGCCAAGAAAAAAUGAUGUCUUCCUCGUAACUGCUCCGAAAUCCGGUACCACCUGGUUGAAAGCCAUCAUCUAUACUUUACUCAACCGCCCAGUCCACCAUCCUCAAGAUCCUCACCACCCUUUGCUUACAAAAACUCCCCAUCAGCUUGUUCCUUUUCUCGGCUUACUCAAACCCUCUGAAUAUGACUUGAUAUCGAAUUCCCCGGACAGCAGUACGAGGAUCUUCGGAUUGCAUAUGCCAAUAAUUGGCCUCCCUAAAGCUGUAAUAGAGGACAAUGGCUCAGGUAAUUGUAAAGUAGUGUAUUUGUGCAGGGACAUCAAGGACACUUUUGUUUCCUUCUUUCACUUUCUCAACCAGCAUUUAGAGCCAUCAAACAAUUGUUUGGAAAACCUCUUUGAUUUAUACGUCAGAGGAGUAAGUCCGGGUGGACCAGUAUGGGAUCAAAUCAUGGGAUAUUGGAAGGGAAGCUUGGAGAGGCCAGAUAAGGUGUUGUUUAUCAAGUAUGAAGACAUGAAAUGCGAGCCUCAUGUUCAAUUGAAGCGUCUGGCACUUUUUCUAGGAAAACCUGUGUCCGAGGAGGAAGAAAAUACGGGUUUGCUUGAUCAAAUCAUAAGUUUGUGUAGCAUUGAUAAUAUGAGGAAACUUGAGGUUAAUAGGAGGGGAAUAGACGAUAGCCUUGGAAUGAAGAAUCACACGUUUUACCGUCGUGGAGUGGUUGGAGAUUGGAAGAAGUAUUUAACGGCAGAGAUGGCCGCUAAGCUGGAUCAUAUUACUGAAGAGAAGUUCCGUGGUUCAGGAUUAUUUCUCUGAUAUAUCGUCAUUAUGCUGGGGUCAAUAUUAAUAUCACUCAAGACCCAAGAGCACAUUUAUUUAUUUUUCAUUUCAAGUGUUUUUUGCUCUUUAUGGUUGUUAUUUCUGUGAUCUUUGGUUUUUCAGUACAAGUAUAAGUGUGCUCUCCAAUUCUGUGUCGGUGUGUUUUAUUUAAUAAAAAUGUGCUCAACUUUCUGGCCUAUGUUACUGGCAUACAGCACCCAUAGCUAAGAGUUAUGUUGGAAUUGUUCUCAAAUUCGAUUCAUAUGCAUGGACUGAAUAUUUGAAUUUACAUGCGCAACUUCAUCAUUAUAUUAUAUGGUCGCAAUCAUUUGUCAGUCAUUUUAGGCGACAAUCCUGCAAUGCAAUGGUCACGAGAUCUCCGAUGUGGACUACAAAUGGAUAUGCCAAUGUGAAUUUUUUACUCCAUGCGUUACAGAUGAGACAAGCUAUUAUAAAUUUAUAUCGAUUUUACAAAAUAAGUUGGCAAAUUGGCAUAUCCACUGAUGUUCUAAAAUCAAAGGAUGCAAACGGAGGCCUAUACUACCUCAAAUGUCUUCCAACCCUGCAGAUGCUAUUUCUAUUAGUCGAUCGUUUCAUUCAGCUUAUGUAAUCUAUGGAUUUGUAAUAACGUUUAGUCACUCUGUACUUUCGAAUUGUAACUCUAAAUUUGGUCUGCAUGCAAGAUUAAGAUCGUAGUGAUAUAAUUGCUAUAUUGGACAACAAAAGUAAAAAAAAUAUAUUAUAGAUUUAACCCAUGUGUAUAAUAAAAAGUGGUCGUAGAGAGUCACUCAUAAGUGAAAAAACACAUGAGAGUAUAAAGUUAAAGAAAAAAAACAAACAAACAUAUGAGAGUAUAAAGUUAAAGAAAAAAACAAACAGCACAAUAGAGUGUAAUAUACGUAAGUUAUUCUGUACAUAUUACAUAUUUCUGUAUGACUUUCUGUGGACGUAGCAUUACUAUGAAGUUAAAGAAAAAAAAACAAACAGCACAAUAGAGUGGUAGCAUUACUAAAUUAAUUAAGUGGUAUAGCCAGUACUGUAUUUGUAAAUGCUCUAAAUUGCAUGGCUUAUUUUCAGUUUAGUUCCCUCUAUUGUCGGAUCUUCAAAAUUGAAACUUAAUACGUAAUAAAUUACGGUUUCUUAACAGAGAUAAUUAUAAAUCAAACAUUACGUACUGUAAUAUAACAUAUUUUUAUUAAAUUACAACCUUUUUCGGGGACUAAACCUAAGUCGAGAUUAAGAACAAAAUGCAGCAUGAUUUUAAUAUAAAGGGGAGGAAAUACAGUAUCCAAUUAUUAUCGAGCACAGACAAAAUUACACUUCAGAAACACACAAGUGAAGAAAGGGAAAGAGAGCACACAAUUCCUUGUCAAAAACUAUGACAAGAAUUACUACAUACAAUAAUCAUAAACAAUAAAAACACUCUGAAAAAAUAUCAGGUGUGGUAGCAGCAGCAACACACAAUGAUGAUUGAAGAUAUAUCAGAGAGAUAAUCCAGAACCACGAAACUUUUCUUGAGUGAUCUGAUCCAGAUUACCAGCCAUCUCCGCAGUCAAACAAUUCUUCCAAUCUCCAACUUGGCCACUCCGGUAAAAUGUGUGAUUCUUUAUGCCAAGCUUAGUUGUACCGCUCUUAUUGACCUCAAGAUUCCUCAUAUUAUCAAAACUGCACAAACUUAUGAUUUGAUCAAGCAUACCUGAAUUCUCUUCCUCUUCGGAAAAGGCCUUCCCUAGGAAAAGCGCAAGACGCCUCAAAUGAAAAUGAGGCUUGGAUUUCAUGUCUUCGUACCUCAUAAACAACACCUUAUUUGGCCUCUCCAAGCUUUCCUUCCAAUAUCCCAUGAUUUGAUCCCAAACCGGUCCACCUCCAGUCACUCCUCUGCUGUACAGAUCGAAGAAGUUUUCCAAGGAAUUGGAAGACGGAUCAACAUGCUUGUUGACAAAGUGAAAGAAGGAAACAAAGGUGUCCUUGAUAUCCCUGCACAAAUACACUAUCUUACAAUUAAAUGACUCACUGUCUUCUAUUACGGAUUUAGGAAGACUCACUGUUGGCAUAUGAGUUCCGAAGAUCCUACUGCUCCUAUCAGAAGAGUUGGAGACAGAUUCAUAUUCGGAACGUUUAAGUAAUUCAUGAAAAGGAACAAGCUGAUGGGGAGUUUGACUUAGCAAAGGGUGGUAAGGAUCUUGAGGAUGGUGGAUUUCACGAUUAAGCAACGUAUAGAUGAUGGCCUUCAACCAGGUAGUGCCCGAUUUUGGAGCAGUUACAAGGAAGACAUCAUUCUGGCGAGGUUGAAAAUGUUUUCCAGACUCAAUUAUGCCAUGCAAGGGUACUUUAGGAAACCAGAAGCCAUUGUAUCGAAAAAUGUCAGCUCCAAAAGAAUUUUUCUCUUUUGGCAAGGUUGAAAGCAAGUCCAUAAAAUCUUGGCUAUAAACGAUCUCUUCAUCUAAUUGCUUAAAAAGAGUAGGAGAAAGUUGAAGAGGUUUUGAAGUUUUGGGCUCCAUGGUACUUAUUGCAGGGUUUUUGGGUAAACGACUGCAUGCCUAUUGCAAUACUUAUAUUAUGAACCCGCCAAGUGCCCCCGCUUAAAAUUAUGAUCCUCGCAAGAAUAUUUUUUUAUGUAAAACAUGUUUAUGGUGUCAAUCUCCGGUAAAUUAGCGAUCUUAAUUUAUUUUUUGGAGAACGUUCCAAUUUAUUAAGAGUUAACUACGAUCAUGAAAAAACCUUUAACUAAAAUUGAGUACUAAAAAUAAAAAAUAAAAAUAAUUGGUUAAAAAUAAUUUAUGGUGUCACAUGUAAAUGAUGUUCCUUGCCUUUGUUAGUACAAUAGUGUCGGUCUGAUCUUUUUAUUUUUGGCCCGAGGCAAAAUAUUAAAUUAGGAUAUUUUAAUAAUAUUUUUUAUAAUACUAAUGGAGAUCAAUCAUUUUAAUUUUUUUAUUAUUUUAAAGUGUAUAGACAAAAUAUUUUCAUAUAUUAUUUUUAAAAAUUUUCAUUUUAUUACAUAUAUACUAUAAAUAUUGGAAUAUAAAUAAUAAUUAUAUUUUUUAUUUUAUAAUACAUGUAAAAAAUCAAAAUCAAAACAAGAAAAUGAAUGAAGAGUAAAACACCACACAAGUAUCAUGCAGGGCGGGUACGUGGAAUUGAGCACAAAAAUCAUACGGAAUGGUAAAGACAAAAGGUUCUUAUGGUGUAAGUCAUAUGAAAGUCAAGGUUUUAACUUAAUUUAUGACGAAAAUAUUGAAAAAAAUUAUAAAUUUGUUGAGCAUGUAUAAUAAUGAGAAUUUUAAAACUUAACCCCGGAUCUUGAUAUCUUAUGGAGAAAGUAGAGGAAUGAUUUUGAUACAGGUGGUGGAUUGUGCCAUGUAUCCAUAACAUUAAAGAGUAUUUAAUUUAAAAUCUAAAAAAAAUUAAUGGGCCCUUUGUUAGAGUCUGUUUUGGAGUGUUGCUAAAGUUGUUCUGCUUGUCGAAAAAAUUGCAGGUAUUUUAGAGUCUGUUUUGGGUUUGAUUUUUAAGUUUCGCUUUCGGGUUCAGUUCGGUUUUAUACGAUUUUAGACGGUUUCAAUUUCAGAUUUAUUCGAUUUUUUGCUCACCCCUACUAAGCAGGCAUUGUACCAGUUGGCCGAAUUCCAUUCCAGAUGGUGCUAAGACUGCCAUCCAAGAUUUUACAUGAAGUCUUCGGCUUCAAUUUAACAACGAUUAUAAUCAACUCAUUAGAGAUUUGGAGUGUUAUUUUUAUGUGAUUUUUUUAUAUUUUUUAUUUUUGUAUGUCAACUUUUUUUAUUAAGGAUUAUUUAUGACCGGAGUUGCUCUUACAAGUAUUGGAAUAUGCAUGUGUUUAUCUUUUGACAUAUUAUUUUAAUCUUUUUAAAAUUUAGACAUAUUAUUCCAAUAUUUUAGAUAAACACAUGCAUAUUGCAAUACUUAUAAGAGCAGCUCCGAUCAUAAAUAAUCCUUAACAAAAAAAAUUGGCAUACAAAAAUUAAAAAUAUAAAAAAUCACAUGAAGAUAACACUCCAGAUCUCUAAUGGGUUGGUUAUAAUGGUGGUUAAAUUGAAAUCGAAGACAUCAUGUAAAAUCUUGGAUAGCAGUCUUAGCAUCAUCUGGAAUGGGAUUCGCCAACUCGUACAAUGCCUGCUUAGAAGGGGCGAGCAAAACACCGAAUAAAUCUGAAACUGAAAUCGCUUAAAACCGUAUAAAACCGAACCGAACCCGAAACUGAAAACUUAAAAACUGAACCCGAAACCGAUUAUGUGGUUAAGGUUAUAACUAAGAACGGAUCUAAAAAACCGAACCGAUCCGAUUUUUCAAAUAAAUAUUAUUUAUAUAUAAUUAUAUAUUACUUGUAAUUUAUAUUAAAUUUUAAAUUCUCAACUGCUGCAUGUGUUUUAUUCAAUUGAUUUUUUUCAAGAAAAGUGGUUGCCUGGUUGGCAUCAGUCCAUCACUGUUUUUCAAAAAUGCUGGUCAAUUUGUGAUGGACAGUGAUAUAGGGCCAGUGUCUCUCACAGAGUGGGGUAUGUUGCCGCAUUUGUAGCUUCAGGCAAUCUCAAACCAUUACUUUACAGCAAGUCCAAUAGGUUACCAAUCCUAUUACUUAUAAAUAAUCUAUAAGCUACAUAGGUUUAAUUUGUAGUCGUACAAAAUUUUGGUUUGGUCAUCUCCUUUAUAACUAGAACUCGGUCACAUGUAGACUUCUCUUACUCUUACAAUAUUAAAGAGUUUUAUACUGUUCAAAUUACAAACACUUGUGAUAUAAUACAAGAUAAAAAAUUAUAUAUUAUUUAUAUACUAUAUUAUUUAUAUUAUAAAAAACUAUAUAUUAUUUAUAUACUUCUUCUAAAUAUAAUUUAUAUAUUAUUUAUAUACUAUAUUAUAAUAAACCGAUAUUGGUAUAAUUCGUUCGUCGUCCAAAAAAUGUAAUCAGUUGGUAAAUAUAAUCUGGUUAAGAUAUAAUUCAUUAAUACUAAAAUACUAAUAAGAUGAUGUUAAAAUUUAAAUUAUAAUUAAUAAAUUACGAAUUUUAUACCCGCCCGUGCUUCGCACGGGUUAAAGGCUAGUAUAAAUAAUAAGUUGUAGUAUGUCUUAGUGAUUUAGGUAAUCUAUUUUUAGUGUCAACUCCAAUAGUAAUCCCUAUAUUUGUUCUCCUAAGAUUAUUUUAAUAAUAAAUUUGAGAGAGAAUAUACAAAGAAAGAAGGAGAGAGAUGAUUAUUUUAUUCAUAAAUAUUAAAUAAGUAAUGGCUAGGGGUUACUUAUAAAUAGGUAACGACUAGGAGAAUUAAGGUUGUGCUAGUGAUUUAGGAUAACACUAGGAUAGUGUUGGAGUGUAUUUUUUUAACACAUUACCUAAAGGUGAGUUUAGCACAUCAUAUAGGUAACCUAUUGGAUCUAACAACUUUAUCUUUAAAUUUCAUCUUUUUCACUUUAUAUUAUCAUUCCUUCUCCGAUCAUUCCCUCAACUUUACUUCAAAUUCNUAUAUAUAUAUAUAUAUAUAUAUAUAUAUAUAUAUAUAUAUAUAUUUUAACGUAAGAACCCGCGGCUGCUAUUCUUCAUGUGCGCACGGGGUAAACCCACAAGCUCACGCAAUAGUCUGCAAACUACGUGAACCAAAAUAAACCGCACCUAAACGCGACAGGCUCGGAUCCAGGAGGCAUAAUCACAAAUUCUGCUUCUAGAUCAAUUAAAAAAUAAUAAGUAAUUAAAAUUAGCCUGGUUAUUCGAAAAUCAUGAUUCAUGUUUGGAAAAAAUUAUAUGCAGAUCGCUAAUUUGUAUAGGAUCGGUCUGCACCAUAUAUAUUCUUUAAAAAAAAUAAAAAAUUCUGAACACUCCAAAACUCAACCCUCGUGCGUGUUACUCUCGCGGGGAUAAUAAUUUUAAGCGCAAGCCCUUCUUGGCAUGGAACAUACCUGUGCUCUCAGGGCACAUGUUUAGAACAUUUAUUAAUCUUAAUUUUCUGUAGAUCAUGCAGUACAGCACUCAAACACAUUAAUUACUAACUAGAAAAUUCAAAUGCUUAUACUUACCAAGUAAAUUUGAUACUUUAUAUAUUUGUAUUCUAUUAUAAUUCUAGUCAAUUAUUUUUUUAACAUUGUUAAAAUAAUUAAUAAUAUAAAAUAUGUUAGUGCAAAUUAUAACAAAGUAUAUCAUGUAAUAUAUACUGUAAUAGAUGUCUACACAUAUAAUAAGACCAAAAUUAUAUGGAUAAUAGUAGUAUUGUUCGUUUAAUUGACUGAUUUGUGAUAAAAUUUCUAUAUGUGAAUAAUAGAACAUCACUAUCUACCCAACACUAGGAUUGCCCAGAGAUCAUAAUAUAUUUCCACCAUCACUUGCAGUCUGAAACCAACCCAAUCGUUUUAAAACAGCAUUACAAUAUUACACAUACUAAUUAUCAUGGAGCCAAAAACUUCACAACCUCUUGAACGUUCUCCUGAUGCUCGAAAAGCAUUAUUGGAUGAGCAGAUUGUCUACAGUCAAGAAUUCCUGGACUUGCUCUCAACCUUGCCAAAAGAGAAAAAUAUUUUUGGAGCCGACAUUUAUCAAUACAAUGGUUUUUGGUUUCCUAAAAAACCUUUGCAUGGCAUGAUCGAGUCUCUAAAACAUUUUCAACCGCGAAAAAAUGAUGUCUUCCUUGUAAGUGCUCCAAAAUCCGGUACCACCUGGUUAAAAGCUAUUAUCUACACCUUACUUAACCACCAAGUCCACCAUCCUCAGGAUCCUCACCACCCUUUGCUCACAAAAACUCCCCAUCAGCUUGUUCCUUUUCUCGGAUUACUUAAACCCUCUGAAUAUGACUCUAUAUCAAAUUCUCCGGAUAGCAAUACCAGGAUCUUCGGAUCUCAUGUGCCAACAAUUGGCCUUCCUAAAUCUGUAAUUGAGGACAAUGGCUCAUGUGACUGUAAAGUAGUGUAUUUGUGCAGGGACAUCAAGGACACUUUUGUUUCCUUCUUUCACUUUCUCAACCAGCAUUUAGAGCCAUCAAGCAACUGUAUGGAAAACCUCUUUGAUUUAUACAGCAGAGGAGUAAGUGGAGGUGGACCAGUAUGGGAUCAAAUCAUAGGAUACUGGAAGGAAAGCUUGGAGAGGCCAAAUAAAGUGUUGUUUAUCAAGUAUGAAGACAUGAAAUGCGAGCCUCAUAUUCAAUUGAAGCGUCUUGCACUUUUUCUAGGAAAACCUGUGUCCGAGGAGGAAGAAAAUACGGGUUUGCUUGAUCAAAUCAUAAGCUUGUGUAGCAUUGAUAAUAUGAGGAAACUUGAGGUUAAUAGGAGGGG